AACGAACGCUGGCGGCAAGCUUAACACAUGCAAGUCGAACGGUAACAGGAAACAGCUUGCUGUUUCGCUGACGAGUGGCGGACGGGUGAGUAAUGUCUGGGAAACUGCCUGAUGGAGGGGGAUAACUACUGGAAACGGUAGCUAAUACCGCAUAACGUCGCAAGACCAAAGAGGGGGACCUUCGGGCCUCUUGCCAUCGGAUGUGCCCAGAUGGGAUUAGCUAGUAGGUGGGGUAACGGCUCACCUAGGCGACGAUCCCUAGCUGGUCUGGGAGGAUGACCAGCCACACUGGAACUGAGGCACGGUCCAGACUCCUACGGGAGGCAGCAGUGGGGGAUAUUGCACAAUGGGCGCAAGCCUGAUGCAGCCAUGCCGCGUGUAUGAAGAAGGCCUUCGGGUUGUAAAGUACUUUCAGCGGGGAGGAAGGGAGUAAAGUUAAUACCUUUGCUCAUUGACGUUACCCGCAGAAGAAGCACCGGCUAACUCCGUGCCAGCCGCCGCCGUAA
RNAcentral lists this ribosomal RNA (506 nucleotides) under uncultured bacterium. Its description in RNAcentral is "partial 16S ribosomal RNA". It matches the Rfam family "Bacterial small subunit ribosomal RNA", at positions 29 to 523 of the family's 1533-position model. The record is from RNAcentral.